UACGUAGGGGGCGAGCGUUGUCCGGAUUCAUUGGGCGUAAAGAGCUCGUAGGCGGUUCGGCAAGUCGGGCGUGAAAACUCCAGGCUCAACCUGGAGACGCCACCCGAUACUGCUGUGACUCGAGUCCGGUAGGGGACCACGGAAUUCCUGGUGUAGCGGUGAAAUGCGCAGAUAUCAGGAGGAACACCGGUGGCGAAGGCGGUGGUCUGGGCCGGUACUGACGCUGAGGAGCGAAAGCGUGGGGAGCGAACAGG
RNAcentral lists this ribosomal RNA (254 nucleotides) under uncultured bacterium. Its description in RNAcentral is "partial 16S ribosomal RNA". It matches the Rfam family "Bacterial small subunit ribosomal RNA", at positions 524 to 776 of the family's 1533-position model. The record is from RNAcentral.